RNAcentral lists this ribosomal RNA (460 nucleotides) under uncultured bacterium. Its description in RNAcentral is "partial 16S ribosomal RNA". It matches the Rfam family "Bacterial small subunit ribosomal RNA", at positions 338 to 795 of the family's 1533-position model. The record is from RNAcentral.
CCUACGGGUGGCAGCAGUGAGGAAUAUUGGUCAAUGGCCGGAAGGCUGAACCAGCAAUGCCGCGUGAAGGUCAGUGCCCUAUGGGCGUUAAACUUCUGUUGUGCGGGAGCAAUAAUGGUCACGUGUGGCCAGACGAGAGUACCGUACGCAUAAGCAUCGGCUAACUCCGUGCCAGCAGCCGCGGUAAUACGGGGGAUGCAAGCGUUAUCCGGAUUUAAGGGGUGUAAAGGAUGCGUAGGCUGUGAGGUAAGUCAGCGGUGAAAUGCCCCCGCUCAACGGGGUGAAGUGCCAUUGAUACUGCCUUGCUGGAAUGCGGAUGCGGUGGGAGGAAUGUGUGGUGUAGGGGUGAAAUGCAUAGAUAUCACACAGAACACCGAUUGCGAAGGCAUCUCACGAAUCCGCGAUUGACGCUGAUGCACGAAAGCGUGGGUAUCAAACAGGAUUAGAUACCCUAGUAGUC